This 340-nucleotide ribosomal RNA is filed under the name uncultured Pseudomonas sp. RNAcentral describes it as "bacterial SSU rRNA". It matches the Rfam family "Bacterial small subunit ribosomal RNA", at positions 1041 to 1382 of the family's 1533-position model. Lineage: Bacteria; Pseudomonadati; Pseudomonadota; Gammaproteobacteria; Pseudomonadales; Pseudomonadaceae. The record is from RNAcentral.
CUGCACGGCUGUCGUCAGCUCGUGUCGUGAGAUGUUGGGUUAAGUCCGUAACGAGCGCAACCCUUGUCCUUAGUUACCAGCACGUUAUGUGGGCACUCUAAGGAGACUGCCGGUGACAAACCGGAGGAAGGUGGGGAUGACGUCAAGUCAUCAUGGCCCUUACGGCCUGGGCUACACACGUGCUACAAUGGUCGGUACAAAGGGUUGCCAAGCCGCGAGGUGGAGCUAAUCCCAUAAAACCGAUCGUAGUCCGGAUCGCAGUCUGCAACUCGACUGCGUGAAGUCGGAAUCGCUAGUAAUCGUGAAUCAGAAUGUCACGGUGAAUACGUUCCCGGGCCUU